UUCGACCUCAAAUCAGGUAGGACUACCCGCUGAACUUAAGCAUAUCAAUAAGCGGAGGAAAAGAAACUAACAAGGAUUCCCCUAGUAACUGCGAGUGAAGCGGGAAAAGCUCAAAUUUAAAAUCUGGCGUGCCUCCGGCCGUCCGAGUUGUAGUCUGGAGAAGCGUCUUCCGCGCUGGACCGUGUACAAGUCCCUUGGAACAGGGCGUCGUAGAGGGUGAGAAUCCCGUCUUUGACACGGACUACCAGUGCUCUGUGAUGCGCUCUCAAAGAGUCGAGUUGUUUGGGAAUGCAGCUCAAAAUGGGUGGUAAAUUCCAUCUAAAGCUAAAUACAGGCGAGAGACCGAUAGCGAACAAGUACCGUGAGGGAAAGAUGAAAAGCACUUUGGAAAGAGAGUUAAACAGUACGUGAAAUUGCUGAAAGGGAAACGCUUGAAGUCAGUCGCGUCCGCCGGGACUCAGCCUUGCUUCUGCUUGGUGCACUUUCCGGUUGGACGGGCCAGCAUCGAUUUUGACUGCCGGAGAAGGGCAGGGGGAAUGUGGCACCUUCGGGUGUGUUAUAGCCCCCUGUUGCAUACGGCGGUUGGGAUCGAGGACCGCAGCACGCCUUCAUGGCCGGGGUUCGCCCACGUACGUGCUUAGGAUGCUGGCAUAAUGGCUUUAAGCGACCCGUCUUGAAACACGGACCAAGGAGUCUAACAUGCCUGCGAGUGUUUGGGUGGAAAACCCGAGCGCGCAAUGAAAGUGAUAGUUGAGACCUCUGUCGUGGAGGGCAUCGACGCCCGGACUUGAUCUACGGAGACGGUUCCGCGGUAGAGCAUGUAUGUUGGGACCCGAAAGAUGGUGAACUAUGCCUGAAUAGGGUGAAGCCAGAGGAAACUCUGGUGGAGGCUCGUAGCGAUUCUGACGUGCAAAUCGAUCGUCAAAUUUGGUAUAGGGCGAA
Molecule: ribosomal RNA, 942 nt
Filed under: Amaurodon hydnoides
Lineage: Eukaryota; Fungi; Basidiomycota; Agaricomycetes; Thelephorales; Thelephoraceae
Description: eukaryotic LSU rRNA
Rfam family: Eukaryotic large subunit ribosomal RNA
Source: RNAcentral